Molecule: ribosomal RNA, 579 nt
Filed under: uncultured bacterium
Lineage: Bacteria
Description: partial 16S ribosomal RNA
Rfam family: Bacterial small subunit ribosomal RNA
Source: RNAcentral
UGGGGAAUUUUGGACAAUGGGCGAAAGCCUGAUCCAGCAAUGCCGCGUGUGUGAAGAAGGCCUUCGGGUUGUAAAGCACUUUUGUCCGGAAAGAAAUCCUUGGCUCUAAUACAGUCGGGGGAUGACGGUACCGGAAGAAUAAGCACCGGCUAACUACGUGCCAGCAGCCGCGGUAAUACGUAGGGUGCAAGCGUUAAUCGGAAUUACUGGGCGUAAAGCGUGCGCAGGCGGUUUGCUAAGACCGAUGUGAAAUCCCCGGGCUCAACCUGGGAACUGCAUUGGUGACUGGCAGGCUAGAGUAUGGCAGAGGGGGGUAGAAUUCCACGUGUAGCAGUGAAAUGCGUAGAGAUGUGGAGGAAUACCGAUGGCGAAGGCAGCCCCCUGGGCCAAUACUGACGCUCAUGCACGAAAGCGUGGGGAGCAAACAGGAUUAGAUACCCUGGUAGUCCACGCCCUAAACGAUGUCGACUAGUUGUUGGGGAUUCAUUUCCUUAGUAACGUAGCUAACGCGUGAAGUUGACCGCCUGGGGAGUACGGUCGCAAGAUUAAAACUCAAAUGAAUUGACGGGGUCAUAGCUG